This 496-nucleotide ribosomal RNA is filed under the name uncultured bacterium. Its description in RNAcentral is "partial 16S ribosomal RNA". It matches the Rfam family "Bacterial small subunit ribosomal RNA", at positions 29 to 507 of the family's 1533-position model. The record is from RNAcentral.
AUGAACGCUGGCGGCGUGCCUAAUACAUGCAAGUCGAGCGAACGGACGAGAAGCUUGCUUCUCUGAUGUUAGCGGCGGACGGGUGAGUAACACGUGGAUAACCUACCUAUAAGACUGGGAUAACUUCGGGAAACCGGAGCUAAUACCGGAUAAUAUUUUGAACCGCAUGGUUCAAAAGUGAAAGACGGUCUUGCUGUCACUUAUAGAUGGAUCCGCGCUGCAUUAGCUAGUUGGUAAGGUAACGGCUUACCAAGGCAACGAUGCAUAGCCGACCUGAGAGGGUGAUCGGCCACACUGGAACUGAGACACGGUCCAGACUCCUACGGGAGGCAGCAGUAGGGAAUCUUCCGCAAUGGGCGAAAGCCUGACGGAGCAACGCCGCGUGAGUGAUGAAGGUCUUCGGAUCUUAAAACUCUGUUAUUAGGGAAGAACAUAUGUGUAAGUAACUGUGCACAUCUUGACGGUACCUAAUCAGAAAGCCACGGCUAACUACGUG